This 465-nucleotide ribosomal RNA is filed under the name uncultured bacterium. Its description in RNAcentral is "partial 16S ribosomal RNA". It matches the Rfam family "Bacterial small subunit ribosomal RNA", at positions 28 to 507 of the family's 1533-position model. The record is from RNAcentral.
GACGAACGCUGGCGGCGUGCUUAACACAUGCAAGUCGAACGGAAAGGCCCCUUUGGGGGUACUCGAGUGGCGAACGGGUGAGUAACACGUGAGUAACCUGCCCUUGACUUCGGGAUAACUUCAGGAAACUGGGGCUAAUACCGGAAACGAAUCCUGGCUGCAUGGUGGGGGUGGGAAAGCUUCGGCGGUUUUGGUUGGACUCGCGGUAUAUCAGCUUGUUGGUGGGGUAGUGGCUUACCAAGGCUUUGACUGGUAGCCGGCCUGAGAGGGCGAACGGCCACAUUGGGACUGAGUGACGGCCCAGACUCCUACGGGAGGCAGCAGGGGGGAAUAUUGCACAAUGGGCGGGAGCCUGACGCAGCAACGCCGCGUGCGUGAUGACGGCCUUCGGGUUGUAAGCCGCUUUCAGCAGGGGCGAAGCUUGUGGUGACGGUACCUGCAGAAGAAGCACCGGCUAACUACGUG